RNAcentral lists this ribosomal RNA (246 nucleotides) under uncultured Pelotomaculum sp. RNAcentral's name for it is "partial 16S ribosomal RNA". It matches the Rfam family "Bacterial small subunit ribosomal RNA", at positions 1137 to 1382 of the family's 1533-position model. The record is from RNAcentral. Lineage: Bacteria; Bacillati; Bacillota; Clostridia; Eubacteriales; Desulfotomaculaceae.
ACUCUAGACGAACUGCCGUUGACAAAACGGAGGAAGGUGGGGAUGACGUCAAAUCAUCAUGCCCCUUAUGUUCUGGGCUACACACGUGCUACAAUGGCCGGUACAGACGGAGGCGAAGCCGCGAGGCGGAGCAAAUCCGAAAAAGCCGGUCUCAGUUCGGAUUGCAGGCUGCAAUUCGCCUGCAUGAAGUCGGAAUCGCUAGUAAUCGCAGGUCAGCAUACUGCGGUGAAUACGUUCCCGGGCCUU